Molecule: RNA transcript, 3211 nt
Organism: Ixodes scapularis (black-legged tick)
Lineage: Eukaryota; Metazoa; Arthropoda; Arachnida; Ixodida; Ixodidae
Gene: dmpd
Gene name: F-box only protein 28
Exons: 8
Source: RefSeq, a predicted model, not a curated record
GUCUAUUUAUUUCGUUUGUGUAGCGCACACGCGAGUGCAUUUUGUGAGAGAUGUAACCAAAGUGACUGAAUUUGCAACGGCUGUAGUUGGGCGCACUAGAGUGCUUAGUCACAGGUUGUAAUGGAGGAGAGAAGGGCCAUGGAUUCAGCAGGGCACCAGGACAGAGUGCUUAAUCUGGUGGACCUCCCCUCCGAAAUCCUGGAUAACAUCUUGCGGCACGCCAGCUUUGCAACUGUCGGCACUGUUCGCAUGGUGUGCCGGCACCUAAACCAGGCAGCCUCCUCUCUGCUCAACUACGAGUUUGUGCGCCUACGGCUGGCAAUGCAGCAGCGCUUCCAGUCCAUCAAGGCCCAGAUGCCCCGGAGAGAGUCGGCCCGGCGCAAGCACCCGCUGUCACGCGAGUGUGACAUCAUCGAGACUGUGCACAUGCGCCUCACCCUGCUCCACAUGACCUUUGGCAAGCACAUCGAGCGCAAGCAUUGCUGCUUCUUCCCAGGAGAGAUCCUGGACGAAGUGCACCGCAUCCUGUGGUACGUGGAGGUGACCCCCACCCUGAGCCGUGCUUACAAGGUGACCGACGAGCUGUUUGACCUCACCACCAUGGCCAUGGAGUACUUCAAGGAGCACAUAGAGCCGACCCUCCCGGAGAUCAGCUACUUCGGCGCAGACUUCCUCGACUACACCCCCUCCUUCUCCUCGUCCCUGAAGAGCCAGCUGUCCUUGAUGGAGAUGCCCCCGUCCACAAGCACCCAGGGGUCGUGCCCCUCUGCCCCACUGUCCCCACAAGCGCCGCCAGUCAACCCCACCGUCAAGAAGCGGCUGCGCAAGCUCAGGGAGAGCAUGAAAAAGAACAGCGGCCAGGUGCUGGCGCUGAGGAGGGAGCUGAAGCUUACCCGGCGACGGGUGGCCAGCCAGCAGCGGCACAUUGCGGAGCUGAGGGCCCGCUACGACGACUACGACCAGAAGCUGCAGACGACGUCGCACAAGCUGAACGCGGUGCUGCAGGAGCUGAGCCGCUGCAAGACAGAGCUCCAGUACUGGCGCUCCAAGUCGCCUGCCGUGACAUCCUGCUCGUGCGGGAAGACCACCCCGACUCCGCUGCACGAGCCUCCCCACUUUGGGGACGCCCCCGACCAGCCCGCUCUGCCUCUGGAGGGGGUCGACUUCACCCCCAUCGACGCGCAGGAGGCCUGCGCAUCCACCUCCGUAGCACUGGGCGAAGAAGCGCAGCCGAAGCUGGUUCCGGCCUGCUACUGCGCACCCCCGGAGAGCGUGUCUGCGCUCUGCCUGGGGGACCCCGAGAGCCUGUGCACUGAGGAAGCCGGGGCCAAGGCGGCCCGGUCGGCUAAGGCCCCCUCCCGGGGCUGCAAACGCAAGCUGAACCUGAGCAUGGCCCCCUUGCUACUCAAGAUGCCCAAAGUACAAAGGAUUCCCUCGCCAAAUGCCGAGUAGCCCAUCUCCAUCAGGUGGCCCAUCCAUCAACCCACAUCUCUUUGUGUGUUUGCUUCCGCCUCCCCCCUCCCCAACCCAACUCCUCUUGGCCAGAUACUUUACUAGGGAACACAUCUCGCUUCGCAAAAUGCCAAUGGCUUCGGCGCUGACAGGUUUUGUAUUGUUGAAGCGGCUGGACAUGCACAGCCGGGGGGUUUUCCCCAUUUUAAAGUGGGAGAGGUGGCUGCUACCAUCUAUCGUUGUGGACUCUUCUCGAGACGGUCGUCUCAGCGAAUCUGGUAUCGGUGCAUUGGUGGCAGCCCUCUCCUGCGGCGCAAAAAACCCGAAUUAUGUAGCCUGCUCUCCACCUGUCACCAUGUUUGGAAGUGAAGGACAUCACAGUGGACUUUCGAUAUGAAACCCAGGAUAUGCCGUUCACCACUCGUCAUUUUGAAAUCGACCCAACUUUCCCAAACCCAGCAGAAGUACACGCAAUAAACUGAAGAUGUCGCUCCUCAAACGUCCAGAGGACCUUUUCUUUUUUUUAAAAUCGGUGUCUCCUGCGCCUGGAUCGUGUGAGUGAAGGGUCGUGGCAAUGGUCAGGAUUGCACGGAUUUGCAAAGCAAGGCGGGUCCCGCGAGGUCGGGAGGAGAGUGCAUCGACGGCCGUCUUUGUGAUGGCAGCGGCUGCGAAUGUGUCAACUUAUCUCCAAUGCCGAAUAUCCAGAGUGACAGUUUAAUGUCUUGCAAAGAGCAGCAGCAGCAUAGACAUGUACCAACCUCAUCGCAGGUAGCACUUGGCGCUUCGAAGAAAUCUAGUGGAGAGACGUGUGGGGACGCUUCCGACAUCAGGUUUCCUCUUGUUUUUGCACUGCCCCCUAGUGUGUGGUAUUACGCCCUGUGAGCACAGUUUGCUCGUUAACUCGUUUCUAAGUAUAUUUAUUUGUUCCCCAAUUUAUGAGCUGCUGCAACAAUUCAGUUGUGCCAAAUUUAGAAAGAAAAGAAAAAAAAAAAAGCUUUGUGCAUGUUUAAGUUUUUUUUGUUGUUUUAGAACGAGUGUAUGUAACGUAUAGUACUGAUCAAAUGGAAAUUCCAGACUUUGGGGCACUUUGCAUGUGUGCAAUGCCUAUUUGUGUUGACUUCGUUUCGCAGUGUGAUGGUGUGUGGUAGGAUUGUAGGUGUCGUGCAGGUAUCUGAACAAUCAACCCCAGUGUGUCGUGCAAGCAAUGGGAAGAGUUGUUUUUUUUUCUUCUCUCCCCCGAGUUUUGAUUGACAGUGGAAAGCGAGGAUUGUUGGGCAUAUGCCGAAAGGGUUUGCGAGAUGCGGAUGCCACAUUCCCAGUAUGUGGAUGAAUUAUACUGGCUGUGUGCGAUUUUAUUUUUAGCAGAGAGAAAAGCAAGAUAUAUAAAUACUAUAUAUACAUACUAUACUUUUUUUUUUACUUCCAAAUAAAUUAUAAAUGUAGCUGAACUUUUUGAAGGCAGUCUAUAAUUGCGCACUUAUUUUUUUGCAACUGUUUUGUUUUUCACUACCUGCUGUAAUAUUCUUUGCUUUGCUAUAAUUUGUGACUAACUUCUGUACCUUCAAGGUUGUUGGGAAAGUACUAUAUUUUAUUUUCACUUAGGUCCACGAAAGAUCUCAAUUCUUCCCUGUCACGACAUAAGAAUGCAUGUUACAACUUAGUGAUGUGUAUUUUGCACAGAUAAAUUGACUAGCUUAUACUUGUAAGCACAACAAAAAAAACUAUUUAUUGUUUCUUGUAAUAAAAAUUGGUAACACAA